GAUGAACGCUGGCGGCGUGCCUAAUACAUGCAAGUCGAGCGAACAGACGAGGAGCUUGCUCCUCUGAUGUUAGCGGCGGACGGGUGAGUAACACGUGGAUAACCUACCUAUAAGACUGGGAUAACUUCGGGAAACCGGAGCUAAUACCGGAUAACAUGUUGAACCGCAUGGUUCAACAGUGAAAGACGGUUUUGCUGUCACUUAUAGAUGGAUCCGCGCCGCAUUAGCUAGUUGGUAAGGUAACGGCUUACCAAGGCAACGAUGCGUAGCCGACCUGAGAGGGUGAUCGCCAACACGGGAACUGACACACGGCCCAGACUCCGAGGGGAGGAAGCAGUAGGGAUUCUUCAAAAAGGGGCAAACGCCGGAAGGAGAACCGCCGCGUGAGGAAAAAAGGUCUUCGGAUCGAAAACCUGUGUUAUAGGGAAAAAAAAAAUGUGAAAGAAAAUAUGCACGUCUGGACGGUACAUAAUAAAAAAGCCAGGAAAAACUACGUG
This 497-nucleotide ribosomal RNA is filed under the name uncultured bacterium. RNAcentral describes it as "partial 16S ribosomal RNA". It matches the Rfam family "Bacterial small subunit ribosomal RNA", at positions 28 to 507 of the family's 1533-position model. The record is from RNAcentral.